This is a long non-coding RNA of Brassica napus (rape), 2908 nucleotides long. RefSeq lists it as uncharacterized. The record is from RefSeq and is a predicted model, not a curated record. The transcript is spliced from 4 exons. Lineage: Eukaryota; Viridiplantae; Streptophyta; Magnoliopsida; Brassicales; Brassicaceae.
CUUGUUUCCACACUCCAACAGCUCUAUCCAGUUGCCUCCAUUUGUUUAAAUUCGUCCAAGACUUCAGGCAAGAUAUUUAAAUCAGUCUCACACAUUUCUUUGCUUCAGUUUUCCUGUCCAUGAUUUCCUGUCCAUGAUUUCCUGUCCAUGAUUUCAUGUCCAUGAUUUCCUGUCCAUGAUUUCCUGUCCAUGAUCUUCUGCCCAUGAUCAAUCAGGUUCUUCAUGUCUUUACUCUUGCUCUUUAUUCUCUUCAUGUCAAUAGCUUAUGAAGCAGGUAAUUUGUGGCUCAUGGUGUUGUUAUUAUGAUCGAAUUGUUUUGGUUCUGCCAUAGUCAUGCUCAGAAGCACGAUAAACUCGAUAACCUUUAUCAUCAUCACACAUAUCACUUGGAAUUUGCAUCUUCGGCAUUGUUUAUAGAAGAUAGAACUUAUUCAGGCUAUAUACUAUUAUGGAGGAAGAAGGUUCUAGGUGUAGGCAUUUAUAGAGGAUUCCAUUAAGUGGAUGGUUUCUGUGUUAUGUCUCUUACAUUUUUAUCGCUUUGAAUCGGUAUGGAGUAGUUUUAGGACUGAUUCUUAGUUUCUGUUGUUGUUGAUGCUGCUUUGGAUCUGUAUGGAGUGAUUUUAGGACUGGUUUGGAAUCUGCAUCUUCUUCAGUAACCUUAAUCAUCAUCACACAUACUCACUUGGUGUCACUUCUAUAUAUUGUUACAGAAGAAGGUUCUAGGUCUAGGCAUUUACAUAGGAUUUCAUAAAUUGGAGAAGGAGAUAUGUACAAGAAUAUAUGCACACGAAUUUAGGUGUUUGUCACGCUUGUUUGAAUAAUGUUUAUCUCCUGUUUUCUUUUGCAGGUUUUACCUCACUCUGGGUUACACUCUUUUUUUCAGCAGCUGUGGGAGCUCACAUGCACAUGUUGUGGGAGCUCACAUGCACAUGUUGUGGGAGCUCACAUGCACAUGUUCUUCAACCCUUUAGCUACCUCAGUUUGCUUUGACUUGGAUUACAUAUCCUUGAUUUUGACAGAAUCGUGGGGAUACCCCCGUACGCUCUUCUUUUAAACCGCUAGUUUUAACAGUUUUUAAACUAAUCUUUAUUUUUUAACUUCUUUGACAUUUAUUUGUCUUUUUGACUUUCUAGGUCUUCGCUUAGGAGUGUUGAUGCUCAUUGCCUUUCUCAAAGGGGUAUCAGCAGGGUCAAUCAUGGAGCUUGUUUUUGACUGGGACAUAAAGUGAUUGUCUAGUAGGAUACAUUUUUUCUCCUCUAAAUCAUUAACUAACUCUUGUUAUUGUUCUAUAGGUUCUACAUAACUUUACUGCUUGGAGGAUCACUCUUAUUCUCCUGCUUGUCUGCCACAACUGGUGCUGCAAAAUGGAGAGAUGUGAACUAUCUUAUGUCCAUACUCCUUUAUGUCAUAUCUAUCCCCAUUUGGCUUGAGUAUUCUCUCUGGAUUCCAAGAGAAGAAUAUUUGCUCAGGUAUGAAGCAUGCUCUUGUUUCUUGACCUUUGGUGUACUCGUGUGCAAGUAGUACUCAGACAGAGUAAUCAAUGGAGGCAUUGACUUGGACCCUGUGAACCACACACUCUCAUUCUACUCUUAUGUGCUUAUCCAAUUCCAAAUGCUCAUGGUGAGAUAUAUUCGUUUUUAAUCAUUGGUUGUUUUAAAUUCAAUUGCCACAAAUAACAUCAUGUUUGCUCUCUCUUCUUGAGCAAUUCUUGUGCAGUCACAAUUUUGUUGCAGAUAAGGAUGAGAACGAAAGAAGAACAGGGAAGAAGUAAAUGAAUCUCAUGAUAACUCCCUCUUAGCAACUAACAAGUACCAUGUGGAUGGACUAAGAAGAAAAAAGAAAAGUAGCAGAGUAUUGAAACCAAGUAUAGUAUAGUUAUUGUAAUUACAUUUGCAAUAACUUAUUUUGUGUGUUUGUUGGUUGAUAAAGAAAAACAAUUUAGAUAUUUCAAUGCAUUCAAGGCGGGGGAGAGUGGACUCGUGUCCUGCCAUCAUGUCAAGUCGACACAUGUCCCACUUAGUGAGAGUGAAACAAAAACACCUCAUGAUAUUGCAUCUGCAAACAUCACUGACCUUGGAGUGAUACCGUCUGUAGAAGCAAAGAGGAAGAAUUGAUGAAGCUGUCACAGAGUAUGGCGAGAACUUUCUGUCUCACCAUAAGCACUUCGUACGGACAAGCACUGUCUGAAUCACCAAAAGAGACGGUGAGAAUCACGACCCGGAAAGUUUGUGGUGGUGUUGUUUUAUGUGGCGUCUUCACCACGUUGCUUCCUUAUUCUCAUCAUCAAGUAUUUGAUCUUCUCCGCAACGAUCAUCAUCGCUCUCAGUUAAAGAUUCAAAACAAAAACCUUCCUCCAUUGAUUCUUGUGAUCCAAGAUACUGAAACUUUAUUUCUUACCUUACUGAAGAUGGAGAUGUUGUUUAAUGAGAAUCCGUUUCAAAAAGUUGCUCAUAUUGCAAAUGGAUAACAUCCUGGAAACUGCAUUUCUCUUCUUCACUUCCAUGGGCCGAGUAGCUCAUCGAAUAAUGUAGAGUGGAUGCUUCAAGAAAUAUGCACUGAUAACUCCGGGACUCUCGUGGUUUACUCUACCGCCGACGCCAACGCCGUCCAUCUCGCGAUGAACGGCCAGGAUUCUUCUACAAUUUCUCUUUUGCCCUUAGGGUUCUCUGUUGUUCAUGUGAAUCAACCCCAUGUGUUUGAGGGCAUUUCCGUCAAUUUGGCUUCGUGCUUGCUCACCGUUGCGGUACAGGUCUUGGUGAGCGACUUCACCACCGCAAGUCUCAACGUUUCCACUACAGCUAUCAACAACCGUAUUUGCUCAACUGUCUACCGACACUACAAGAAAACAUCAAGGAUUCUGAGGGAAAAAAUCGUCGGAAUUUCGUCGGAAUAUCGUUAUUCCGACGAA